ACGCACGCUGGCGGCGCGCCUCACCCCUGCCAGUCGAACGGAGUCAAGAGGAGCUUGCUUUUCUUGACUUAGUGGCGAACGGGUGAGUAACGCGUGAGUAACCUGCCCUGGAGUGGGGGACAACAGUUGGAAACGACUGCUAAUACCGCAUAAGCCCACGGAUCCGCAUGGAUCUGCGGGAAAAGGAUUUAUUCGCUUCAGGAUGGACUCGCGUCCAGUUAGCUAGUUGGUGAGGUAACGGCCCACCAAGGCGACGAUUGGUAGCCGGACUGAGAGGUUGAACGGCCACAUUGGGACUGAGACACGGCCCAGACUCCUACGGGAGGCAGCAGUGGGGGAUAUUGCACAAUGGGGGAAACCCUGAUGCAGCGACGCCGCGUGGAGGAAGAAGGUUUUCGGAUUGUAAACUCCUGUCGUAAGGGACGAUAAUGACGGUACCUAACAAGAAAGCACCGGCUAACUACGUG
Molecule: ribosomal RNA, 467 nt
Filed under: uncultured bacterium
Lineage: Bacteria
Description: partial 16S ribosomal RNA
Rfam family: Bacterial small subunit ribosomal RNA
Source: RNAcentral